UUAUAAACCCGAUAGUAGCGUAAAACCCGCAGGCGAGGAACGAGCCAAGGCUUUGAAGCGAUAGCGGGACUAUCA
Molecule: small RNA, 75 nt
Filed under: Pedobacter alluvionis
Lineage: Bacteria; Pseudomonadati; Bacteroidota; Sphingobacteriia; Sphingobacteriales; Sphingobacteriaceae
Description: Flavo-1 RNA
Source: RNAcentral